Molecule: small nucleolar RNA, 90 nt
Organism: Ceratitis capitata (Mediterranean fruit fly)
Lineage: Eukaryota; Metazoa; Arthropoda; Insecta; Diptera; Tephritidae
Product: small nucleolar RNA Me28S-Am2634
Exons: 1
Source: RefSeq, a predicted model, not a curated record
ACAUUUUCUAAGUGAUGAUAUAUUAGUAGGAAUCUCAUUGAGUAUCACUCUGUGUUAUUAUGAAAACAUAUUUUUUAACUGAUUAAAUUC